Molecule: ribosomal RNA, 200 nt
Filed under: uncultured bacterium
Lineage: Bacteria
Description: partial 16S ribosomal RNA
Rfam family: Bacterial small subunit ribosomal RNA
Source: RNAcentral
AGAGUUUGAUCCUGGCUCAGGACGAACGCUGGCGGCGUGCCUAAUACAUGCAAGUCGAGCGGAGCUUAUCCUUCGGGGUAAGCUUAGCGGCGGACGGGUGAGUAACACGUAGGCAACCUACCCUGUAGACUGGGAUAACUACCGGAAACGGUAGCUAAUACCGGAUAAUUCCUUUCUUCUCCUGAAGGAAGGAUGAAAGG